CAGUCGCCGCGGGAAUACGUAGGUGGCAAGCGUUGUCCGGAAUUAUUGGGCGUAAAGGGCUCGCAGGCGGUUUCUUAAGUCUGAUGUGAAAGCCCCCGGCUCAACCGGGGAGGGUCAUUGGAAACUGGGAAACUUGAGUGCAGUAGAGGAGAGUGGAAUUCCACGUGUAGCGGUGAAAUGCGUAGAGAUGUGGAGGAACACCAGUGGCGAAGGCGACUCUCUGGUCUGUAACUGACGCUGAGGAGCGAAAGCGUGGGGAGCGAACAGGAUUAGAUACCCCAGUAGUCCCUGUCUCUUAUAC
Molecule: ribosomal RNA, 301 nt
Filed under: uncultured bacterium
Lineage: Bacteria
Description: partial 16S ribosomal RNA
Rfam family: Bacterial small subunit ribosomal RNA
Source: RNAcentral